UGCUAUAUCCGUUCUUCCUUUCUUUGGUGCAUUAUUCCCUUUUCCUUUACCGGUAUUCUGUCUCUCAAAAUUCCACUUCCUCUUACCUGAGAAAUUUCGAACUUGGUAAGAAUUUUCAAUGUUUUGAGUUCUCUGAUAAGAAAUAGUCUGGGCUCGCUUUAGGACUUCUCGAUAAGUGCCCAACUCAAGAACUGACACUAUGUCACGAAUGUAAGGUUGAAGUCCACGC
This 229-nucleotide long non-coding RNA is filed under the name Olea europaea (common olive). RNAcentral's name for it is "long non-coding RNA (OEUR_LNC014518)". The record is from RNAcentral. Lineage: Eukaryota; Viridiplantae; Streptophyta; Magnoliopsida; Lamiales; Oleaceae.